CGACCCGCACGAAUGGUGUAACGACUAAAGCACUGUCUCGAUGAAGGACCCGGCGAAAUUGAAGACGCGGUAAAGAUGCCGUGUACCCGCAGCAGGACAAAAAGACCCCGUGGAGCUUUACUGCAACUUGACACUGGGUAAGGGUUUAGCUUGUGUAGGAUAGGUGGGAGGCAGCGAAGCCAGGGCGCCAGCCUUGGUGGAGCCGUCGGUGAAAUACCACCCUGGCUAAAUCUUCACUCUAACUCUCAGCCGUAAACCGGCGAGGGGACCGUGUCAGGCGGGCAGUUUGACUGGGGUGGUCGCCUCCCAAAAGGUAACGGAGGCGCCCAAAGGUUCCCUCAGGUGGAAUGGAAACCCACCGCAGAGUGCAAAGGCAAAAGGGAGCUUGACUGCGAGGCCGACGGGCCGAGCAGAGACGAAAGUCGGGCUUAGUGAUCCCACGGUACCGAGUGGAAGGGCCGUGGCAAACGGAUAAAAGCUACCCCGGGGAUAACAGGGUGGUAGGGCCCAAGAGUUCACAUCGACGGCCCUGGUCGCCACCUCGAUGUCGGCUCGGCACAUCCUGGGGCUGGACAAGGUCCCAAGGGUUGGACUGUUCGUCCAUUAAAGUGUCACGUGAGCUGGGUUCAGACCGUCGUGAGACAGGUCGGUCUCUAUCCGCUGUGGGCGUAGGGGACUUGAGGGGAGCUGCCCUCAGUACGAGAGGACCAGGGUGGACGAACCGCUAGUGUGUCAGUUGUACCGCCAGGUGCAUGGCUGAGUAGCUAGGUUCGGCAAGGAUAACCGCUGAAAGCAUCUAAGUGGGAAGCCAGCCCCGAGACAAGGUCCCCCAUCCCGAAAAGGGAGUAAGGCCGCUGGAAGACUACCAGUUAGAUAGGCGGGAGGUGUAAGCGCAGCAAUGCGUUAAGCUAACCCGUACUAACGGCCGAGGGCUUCCUUAC
This 941-nucleotide ribosomal RNA is filed under the name Bacteroidales bacterium. RNAcentral's name for it is "partial 23S ribosomal RNA". It matches the Rfam family "Bacterial large subunit ribosomal RNA", at positions 1984 to 2925 of the family's 2925-position model. Lineage: Bacteria; Pseudomonadati; Bacteroidota; Bacteroidia; Bacteroidales. The record is from RNAcentral.